This 45-nucleotide non-coding RNA is filed under the name Schistosoma mansoni. The record is from RNAcentral. Lineage: Eukaryota; Metazoa; Platyhelminthes; Trematoda; Strigeidida; Schistosomatidae.
AUCCAGCCGACGAGUCCCAAAUAGAACGAAAUGCGCGUCCUGGAU